CAGGUAUAAAGGUCUACUUUAGGUCUAACAUUAGGCCUACUGCCUGACUACAGGUAUAAAGGUCUAUAGUUCUACUGCCUGACUGCAGGUAUAAAGGUCUUUAGUUCAACUUCCUGAAUAAAGGCCUACUUUAUGUCUAACAUUAGACCUACUUCCUGACUACAGGUAUAAAGGUCUAUAGUUCUACUUCCUGACUACAGGUUUCAAGGUCUAUAGUUAUUUUUCCUGACUACAGGUAUAAAGGUCUUUAGUUCUACUUCCUGACUACAGAGUGUCUAUAGGUCUCUUAAGGUGUUGCUAUCUAAGGUGAACUCCUCAAAGCUGAAUAUUUUCCAUUGACGUCACGUUGGUGUGAAACCUGUUUACCUCGAUGCUAGACCCUCCUCUUCCUGUCACAACAUGGGUUUCAGAGAAAAGGACCACGAGCUGAAAACUUUCCACUCAAUUGAACCAAUCGCUGCUCGUAUGUCCUUUCAUGGUAAAGUACAUCUAGUCAUGAACACAGAAAUACGCAGAAAAGACCUUGUUACUCAAAGACCCAGCUACUCUCUGACAGUCACCAUCAGACCAUCAGACCACCAGAUGGACAGGCUGUGUGUCACUCUGAUUGCAUUCUUAUGAGGAAGGAGACCUGUUUUACGCCUCGUUGGAUAUCCGUCAGGGACAGAGGAGACCAAAGAAGAAGAAGAAGAGAGUCCAGAACUCUGACUUCAGUACCUACACAGCCAUCAAUACCAGCAGAG
This 743-nucleotide long non-coding RNA is filed under the name Salmo salar (Atlantic salmon). RNAcentral describes it as "lncRNA (ENSSSAG00000093430.1)". Lineage: Eukaryota; Metazoa; Chordata; Actinopteri; Salmoniformes; Salmonidae. The record is from RNAcentral.